UUUGCCUACGGGAGGCAGCAGUAGGGAAUCUUCCACAAUGGGCGAAAGCCUGAUGGAGCAACGCCGCGUGGGUGAAGAAGGUCUUCGGAUCGUAAAACCCUGUUGUUAGAGAAGAAAGUGCGUGAGAGUAACUGUUCACGUUUCGACGGUAUCUAACCAGAAAGCCACGGCUAACUACGUGCCAGCAGCCGCGGUAAUACGUAGGUGGCAAGCGUUAUCCGGAUCUACUGGGAGUAAAGGGAGCGUAGACGGCAAUACAAGUCGGAAGUGAAAU
RNAcentral lists this ribosomal RNA (274 nucleotides) under uncultured bacterium. RNAcentral's name for it is "partial 16S ribosomal RNA". It matches the Rfam family "Bacterial small subunit ribosomal RNA", at positions 334 to 600 of the family's 1533-position model. The record is from RNAcentral.